AGGCUCUUUGCCUUCGCCUCGUCUCUCUAUCUGGCAAGCUUUUCCUUGUCCUUCAGCUUUUGCUGUGUUGGGCACUUGCUCCCAUCUGCUUGCUUCUCUAGAAUCCACUGCCCUAGAAUGAGUAAUUUUUCUUAGAAGCAGAGUUGGAACCACUGAGGAAGCACAGUCAUCUGAUUCAUCCUGGUAGCAAUUCCAUUCUGCAUCUCUUCUGGACACCCACAGGACCACCAGAACAACCCCAUCAUGGCCCUGUCACCAGGCCCAGUUUGGCUCCAUGAUAACCAAGACGCAGGUCCAGAGACAACCGCCCUGCUUGAUGCCUGCAUCUGACCUCCCUUGGUGGGUAGUGAUGAGCACAACAUGGAAGAAGCCAGGGCAGCUUGUGGCCAGCUGCCCUACAGCCCCAGAUGGCUGGGGACUAGGAUUCCAAAAGGAUGAUUUUGGAGCUGUAGGAUUGAAUGACUGGCCUGCUGGGUUUUGGAUGUUCGUGUAUCCUAUGAGUCCCAUCGGUGUUUGUUUUUCUUUCAGGCAAUUUUUCUUCUAUUGGCUGGGAAUGCUUACCCAUUGCCUGUACAAUCAUUGUACCUUGGAAGUAGUUAACUUGCUUUAUAAUUCAGAGGCUCAUGGGCAGAAGGGACUGUAUCCUUGUCCCAGAUAAAACUUUGGGCUUUGGACAUUUGCUGGAAUGAGUUAAGAUUUGGGGGACUGUAGGGAAGUCAUCAUUGUAUUUUGCAACGUGAGAAAGACAUACGAGAUUUGCAUGGGCAGGGACAGAAUAAUAUGACUUGGCUCUGUGUCCCACUGCUGUGAAAUUGUAACGGGAAAUGUUAAAGGUGGUGGGGGCUGGUGGAAGGUGAUUUAAUCAUGGUGGAGAGUGGAGGUUGGAAGGUGGGG
This 894-nucleotide long non-coding RNA is filed under the name Homo sapiens (human). Its description in RNAcentral is "HSALNT0353431". The record is from RNAcentral. Lineage: Eukaryota; Metazoa; Chordata; Mammalia; Primates; Hominidae.